CUUUCUCGCGUUUCUGAUGUCCUCCGCCUCCGAGAACUCGCUCUCCGACGUUGGCUCCCAUUUCACCGUCUUCGACGUGCCAAAUUUGCCAGCUGGUUUGCUCUGUCGCGUCGAAGACGCCGUAGAACUGCUUCUCUUCGCGAAACCGUUCUCUUUCCUCGUAGUGAACUCGUGAACGAUGGGUACCUCGAUGUCACUGGCUCGUCGUUGGCCUUGGAUCGUUCUGUUAGUACUGCUGACUGUUCUUUUGCCUUCCCCGGGAAGCACGAUUCCGAACUCGUAGCCAAAGUCGUACUUGAAGUGGAUCGGAAGCUGUAAGUUUCACUGUUCGCGAAACGAACGCGCAAGAAUCGAUAAUUCACGUCUUACGUAAAAAUUUCCGAAUGAAACGUUUCGCGAGUCCGAAAAUAACGGACGGAAAUCUUCAGCUCCGAUUGAUCGAAGUGGUUCCGUCGUCGAUCAGAUUUUGAAGUUCGUGGACCGUGGCCAACGGGUUCUCCUGGCAAUAUCAGUUAACAAAAGCUCGAGCACGCGUGCACGAACCAAGAAGCAUUGGAG
Molecule: unclassified non-coding RNA, 558 nt
Filed under: Bombus terrestris (buff-tailed bumblebee)
Lineage: Eukaryota; Metazoa; Arthropoda; Insecta; Hymenoptera; Apidae
Description: misc RNA ENSBTSG00005025601.1
Source: RNAcentral